UUUAAUUUUUUUACGUAAUCGUGUAAAAUAACGAUAUAUUCUAAAACGAUUUAAAAUAUUUGUUGUUAUUUAAAAAAAGUAUAAGUUGUAGAAACUUGAAACUUUCACUAAUAGUUGAGAAAAAUAAAUUAUAAUUUAAAUAUAGGUAAUAAUAUAAUAUAAUAUCCUUGACUGAAAAAUCAUCUCCAUUCAGAAUCGUAUUUCGUAUACAAUGAUACCUGUCCCAAACAAUAAUGACCGAUUUUUAACAAAUCUCAUUAAACGCAUUUAAAAUGCAAUUUCUCAAUACCGAACAAAAAAAGGUUUUAUUUUCAUCAUUUUUGGCGAAAAAUCCAAACUAUUUUCGAAAUGAUAGAAAUAUUCAAAACAAACUCGGAAUUUUCAUUGCAAGUCCAUUACUUGUCUGCUUUGGCUUUUGUCCCGGAAAAUGACGGAAAGUACGUAUUACAUUGAUAAUGAACUAAUGAAGAUGUCUUAGAAUCACUUAUUUCCUAUUUCAUGGAUACAUGGAUUGGUAGUCCAAAUACUGCAGGGCCGUCCCGAGUUGGCACAUUAAUGCAUCUCACCCCCCUUUAUUAUUUUGUUCGGGACGGCCCUGCCAAACAGACGUAAUAAGAGAAACCUCAGGUUUCCUAUUUCACUGUGUAACUGCUAUACGUCUACUGUAUCUGGUUUACCUAGGACAAACAAUCAUGUUGAAAGGUGGUAUAAAGCAGUAGUUUUCAACCUUUUUAAUCAUGCGGCACACUUCAUUUCCAACAAAAUUUUCGCGGCACACCAAUCCAUAUAAUAUGUGAAGCAUAUUUUAUAUAUAUACCUAUAUAUACAUAUAAAUAUUGAAUACAUACUAAUAAAACUAUUAACAGAUUUUUCGCGGCACACUUCAAGAGCGCUCACGGCACACCGGUUAAAAACCACUGGCAUAAAGGCUUCUAUAAUUUAUUGAGUUCAUGUCAUCCAACAAUAUGGAAAUUUACUGAAGCAAUACAAAAAUAACAGUUGAAACAAAAAGAAAAUAAAUCGGUAUACAACCGGUCAUGCCGUCAAGAAAAUGCAAAAGGAAUACAGUUAAACAAUUAGUAAAUUCACUGUAUUAUUAAGCAUAAAGGAGUUAAGCGGAUUCUUCAAAAAGCAAAAUUUGCUAUGUUAUGUGUUUGUAAGACAAUACUUUCAUUCAUGUGUGUAUAACAUCUUAAACUAUGGGUGAUAUCUUAAUAGUAUGCUUCAAUGUUUUCCAGUCUGAUAUUAAUACCUCAUGGAUUAUGAAUUCACUGAAUAUUUUUAUGAAAUAAAGACUUACUAAGUAUGAGUAUCAAUUAAUGUGUGCAGUUACCAGGAAGACAAUAUUUUAUUAAUUAUUAUACUUAUUUAUUCUACUUUUUGAUUUUGAAACUAUUUUGCCUAUCAGAGUGCUAUGUUAUUAAUAUGUAGAUAACAUAUGAUUUGUAUUAUAUGCAUUGAUAUGUGGCAUUUGAUUAUUGGUGUGCUUUACCUAUUAUAAUUUUUAAUGUUACGCUUAUGAUAGUACAUAAAAAUGUUUAUUUGUAAUUUUAAUGAUUUUCUUAUAAGGAUUUGUGAUGAUCAUGUUUGCCUAGUCGUUCUUCAUCCAAUGCACAUUUAAUUACACACUAUGGCUUAAUACAUUCAGACUUAAAACAUCCACUGUGUACACCCUCAUAUAGAUAACUAGUACCCUAGGUUCCUAGAUGUCUUACAACACUUGCUACAGUGAUUUAUACAAUUUCAAAAGAUGUCUCAUGAUUCUCAGUAUUUAACCUAAUUGUUUAAAAUAUCUAGCUAGGUACAAAAAAAGCUAAAGAUCACCAAAUUAUUUUAAAUCCAGUUAUAUCAUAUGAAAGUUGCAUAUUAUAUUAAACACUAAUAAUGCAUUUAAUAGGCAUUUUGUUCUUCAGUCAGUUAAUUUACUCUACUUACCUAUAUCUCAAAUAUUGAUAAUAUAAUAUAUUUAAAAAAAUGUAGAACUAUUGGUUUUAUUUAAUUCAUCAAUU
Molecule: long non-coding RNA, 2009 nt
Organism: Rhopalosiphum padi (bird cherry-oat aphid)
Lineage: Eukaryota; Metazoa; Arthropoda; Insecta; Hemiptera; Aphididae
Exons: 3
Source: RefSeq, a predicted model, not a curated record